CCUGCGGGCCGCUCCUGAAUGCGGCCUCGGAGGGCUUCAUUUGCCCGUCGGAGCGGGCGGCCAGGCUCCUCCCGUGGCGCGGCGGAGGACGGGGUGAGCCUCCCUGGCACUUUACUGCCGGAAUGACCCAGAGUGCCUUGGGCAGUGCCUGAGGAUGGGGCCGGCCGUCAAGCGUCAGUCAUCAGGGGUUUGCUGAGCAGAUGGCCCCAGCCCUCUGUUCCCCGCCUCGCCUUCCCGCUAGAACAGUUAGGUGUUUUCCAGAAUUUCAAGCAGCAUCCCUGUUUUUCCGAGAUUAUGCACUCCGAAGUGGCUUGCUGAAUAGAUAAGUCUCUGCAAACUGCCUUGGCAGGGCUCAGGAUGCCCUCCUCUUAGACUAGGCCUGACCCGAUCCUGCUUUUCAUCUGUCUACUAGCAAAGGAGCUUUAUUGAAGUCAACAUGCUCAAGCCGGUAACAUAUUUCAAGUCAACAAGGCGUCUGAAACAAUUAAGGUAUUCCUCAAAGCAAGAGAGGGGAAGAGAAUGGGACCUAUCGAAGUCUCUGACUGUUGUCCAAGUGGCCUUUUUGUUUCCGCCGGUUCUCCCCUCUGUUGCUCCCUCUGAGGCUCCUUUGUUCUUUCCACGGACUAACCCCUGCUAGCGCUGGUGAAAGCUCUGUGAGUGCACACUGCCUCAACAGCUGUUGAAGGAGCUCUUUGCUCUGUGUUUAUUCUUCCAGCUACAGCCUCAUUAGGACUCACCAGUAGUAUCUAGAAAAAUUGCCCUUUUUUCCUUGUGAUCUUUUGGUUUUGAUGUAAUUUUGCAUUGCGAGAGGACAGUGUUGAUACUGUGCAACAGACUUGCAACUUUUUUGGGAACAGAUAUAAUAAUGCCUUUGUCAACAGACCAGUUCCAAUUUCUUUCACUUUUUAGGUGCCUUUACAUUUUCAUUGUCAUUUUUAUUAUAAAAUAAAUAUUUUGUACAAAUGCAUUCCUUCAAAAUGUAAGGCUACAGCAUGGUACAGUGAAGACUACAGACAGGGACAGUGCAGGAUGAAUGUAUCAGCUGAGUUUCAUCUCAUUGAGCUUCAGCUGUUUUGAAACUAGGGUUCUACUAUGAGUUCUUUGUCUAGGCUCCUUCUAGUUAAUGAAGAAAGAUAAGAGCUCCAGAGGGCAAUUGAUACAACAUGGGUUUUGGCACUUACCGUAUGAUGAAUUUUGCUUGAGUCUGGGUGCUGGGUCUCCUGUACCCUCCCAUCUGCUGUCAGGUCUACCAGGAAUGUGCAGCUGGAGGCCUAGAAGGAAGUGGGACUGUCCCUUUCUGCGUCUGCCUCCAAUUAGAUCAUGUACAGUGUAAUAUGGAAGGGGGCCCUGAGGGUGUGGUUUGACAAGCAGCUGAUCUAACAACUCAUGACUGUUGAAAGGAUGAUCCCAGCUUUCCAUCCCUUCUCAUUUUUUUUCUCCCUACCCUCAUCUCCAGGUCAUCCAGCCCCUUUGCCAACUCUGCUGCACCUCUGGUGCCUCUGUUAUCCAACUCUACUUGCUAACCCACUAAAAUCUGUUUACUUUUUAUCUAAUGGUUUAAUUUUUUGCCAGGUUAUGAAGGUGCCUCUAGUCACAGAAGCCUACAGCCAUUGUAAAGGGAAGUGGUGAUAGUGUGCAUCUGGCAGCAGGGCGGGGGGUGGGGGAACAGAAGAAUAGAAGACCUCCCUGUAUGGGUAGCAGUGAAAUGUUAGGCCUACAUGGCUAGUUCAGAGCCUUUGCCAAAUGCUUUCUUCUGACUUUCAGGUUGAAAGAAGCAGUCAUUUUUGCCCGGCAUUGCUCUGGUCCAUUGCCCAGCUACUGCUAGAAUAGUUUCCAGACCACAGAACUGAUCCAACUGAAAAAUAACCCUGAGGGGAGAAAGGAGAAGGUGGGAGAUGUUAGUUUCAGUCAUACCAGCUACCUGUUCAAGUUUACUGAACCCUUAUGUCACCAAGAAUGAAGAUACUCUACAGAACUGGGAACAAACUACUCAUGCUGGGCAAAGGGAUUUGGGAAACUGCCUUUCCUUAUGUUAGUGCUCACUUAGGCCAGUUUAAAUUUAUGCCAAACUACAGCCUUAGGAUGGGGUUAGUUGUCUGUGGACAGCACAGAAACUUGCUUCUCUUGACUUACAGCAAAAGAAGUCUAGGUAUCAGCUCUUACCUGGUAUGUCAGACAACUAAAUCCCAUUCUUAGCAUCCUUGGCCUGAUUUCCUGUUUCCAUCAGGAUCAAUAGAAACGACUAGUUUUUGAUAGCUUAUUUGAAUGCUGUAACAACCAUUCCUUUGAUGCAGUGCAACACUUUAAAUACAUUCAAAUUAUUCUCUCAAAAUCUGAAUACAUUUCCUUGGCACAUCCUAAAAAUAUCUUUUAUUUAUUAUAUGUGUUGGUUCCAAACAAAUGUCACAUUAAUAAGCAGAGAGGCUUGGGUAGGUGUACGUCAUUAGUCACGCAGGCAGUGGUUUCUUUUUCCAAAAUACUUCCAGAAUUCAAUCUGACCUCUUCUAACAAUGAACUAUUUAUAGGAUUCAUAAGGGCCUUAUCCUCCAACCCUGACUCAGCCAAAACUCACCACUGACCUUGACCUCCUAUAGUCUAUUCUUAUAGCCUUACUCAUGUGAGGAGCUUUUAUUCGCUGACCUGAUUUAGGGAGUGUAUUCUCAUGAGUAUGAUUUUGCAGGCUUGGUUCCCAGCUCAGUGGGACUUGGUAAAUGUCACAGAAUUGAGUCCUGAGAUACAUAUAUUAUUUUUACAAUGUUAUAAAUAAAAACCAGGGGGAAAAUGAGCAGCUAAGAUCUGCUUCCAACACCACAACAAUAAACUGAGUGUAAUUCCAUCAGGUGUUUACCAGUAGAAAUAAAAGUAUUGAAUACUCCUUAUUUUGGAAGAGAGUGCGCAUAUUUUUAGAAGAAAGCAGUCACUAAGUUUCUGAAUCAUAACAAUUAUUACUAAAUAAAGUAGCUGUUUUUUCGCAACAAGAUAUAAUUGUUUUUAAGUAGAAUAUUAUUGCAGUGUUAGGUGAUUACACUAGCACAGUAUGACAAUGGCAACUUUUUUCUGUAUUUUUUGCGUCUUCUUCUGUAACAUCUAAAAAACCUCUUGAUCUAUAACUAACUGCCCCUAGUAAUUUUCUGUUCUUCAUUGUGAUGCAGGAUGGUACCUUUUUAGAAGCUUGUUGUUAGUGGAGCUGGGUAACCAGUGUGUUGUCUUUAACAAAAAAAUACUCUCACCAGUCUACUAUCUUUCAAUUUUUUUGAAUGACUCUUCAUUUAUAAAGAAUAUAAUAUACUUGAUGUGUCUUCUUUCCAACUUAUAUUGUGUUACAUAUCUCUUUCAUUUCCUUUUUUAUUUUCUCGCUUUAAAGUGGAAGAGUCCAAUUUUUUAGGUGCUUUCGUAAGUCCUCAGUGCUUUUUUCAUUCACAUUUGAACCACUGCUUUUUAUUUCCCUCCAUUUUAUUGCACGUGUUGAAAAUGUCUUUAUUAUAUACUUGAAUCAUCAGUAUAUUAUAUGGUGGUCUUUUGUAGCUUCUGUAUUUUAUUUGUUCUUUUGAAUAUAAGCAUGCAAUGAGCAAGUGUCUUCAGUUAGCUGUCUACUACAAUGCCUAGGCCUUUCUCUUGAGUAGUUACUGUAAAGGUGGAAUCCAUUAUGCUUAUGAGUAACUAAAGGAAUGCCUUCCAGUCAGCACUGUCGUGCAUUUAUCAGCAUUUGACUUUGUAUUGAUAAGGAGCAUGGUUGGCUCCUUAGUAGCUCCAUAGUAGCACCCUCUACUCUGCCCUGGUGAGGCUGCACCUGGAGUGCUGUGUCCAGUGCUGGGCUCCCCAGUUACAGAGAGACAGGGAGCUACUGGGGAGGGGCCAGCAGUGGGCUACGGAGGUGAUGAGGGAGCUGGAGCAUCUCCCUGAUGAGGAAAGGCGGAGGGAGCUGGGCCUGUUUAGCCUGGAGAAGAGAAGACUGAGAGGGGAUCUUAUCCAUGCAUACAAAUGCCUUAAUGGCGAGUGCCAAGAGGACGGGGCCAGGCUCUUUUCGGUGAUGCCCAGCGACAGGACAAGGGGCAAUGGGCACAAACUGCAGCACAGGGAGUUCCAUGUGAAUGUGAGGAAAAGCAUCUUUACUGUGAGGGUGACAGAGCACUGGCACAGGCUGCUCAGAGAGGCUGUGGGUCUUCUUCUCUGGAGACAUUCAAAACCCACCUGGAUGUGAUUCUGUGCAACCUGCUCUGGGAGACCCUGCUUUAGCAGGGCAUUGGACUAGAUGAUCUCCAGAGGUCCCUUCCAACUCGACCAUUCUGUGAUUCUGGGAUGGUUUUCCUUUACAUGGGCAGAGCUGUUUGUCAGGCUCAUGGUUAGGCCUUUUAUGUCUGUUGUUAGAGACUCUGUCAAUCACUUGACCUGUGAUGAAGACCUCAUAAUUCCUAGAAAUCUUUUUUAGUCUUGAUUUUCUGGAUAUAUACACAUGCUACAGAUUUAUAAUACUGUUAGAUAAUUAGAUGAUUUACAUGAGAAAGUUUGUAUGUUAGCUCAAGAGCUUUCUCAUUCUAAACGUGUGGUUAGAUGUAUCCUGCCCCAUUUUUAUCAUAAAUUUAUCAGUUUAUAUUAACAUGUUAUUUACUCUGUAAUCCUUCCUCUGUUGUAUUUUUAUUACAAGUAAAAUAUUAUUGUAACCCAUGUUCUCUACUGGGAAAAAAAAGCUAAAUAAAGGUGAUUAUUUGCUUUCCAUAGCACUUCAGCCUAACUAUGCCAGUCACAUCAAAGGUCCAUCUAACUAGCAUCUUGCCUCUGACAGUGGCCAGUAAUGGAUGUUAAAAGAAAGCAUAUAUAAAACAUAAAAGGUUUUGUACUUCCUUGUGUUGUACCUCUUCCAGAUUAUAAAAAUCAGGAAUCAAGACAAUCUGGAACCUAUUAAUUCUUUUGGCACCCAAAAAAUUCCUGUGACAAUUAGUUUAAUGAUUUAAUAAAUGUGAGAAAUUACACCUGUCUGCUUAGUUCUCCUGACUGAUAAUUCUGUGCAAGGUACUCCAGUUUUUAUAUUGAGAAAAAUAGUGCAUAAUCAUUCUCUAAUCAGGAUUUUAUAUACAUUUACCACAUUUUCCUUCCCUAUCAUCUUCAUUCCAAGGUGAGGAGUCUAUUUAAUGUCGCUUCAUGUAAAAUCUAUACCUCUUAUCAUCCUUAUUACAUUUCUUUGUGGUUUUCUGUGACUGCAUAUUAUAUUUGAAAUAGGAUACACAGCCUUUAUUCUUUGUAAUUGUUUUUAUUUUCCUGGGAGUCUCAUUGAUCUAUAAUCUGUAUCUUUAAUAUUGUAAUAAAGUUCCCUGUAAUUUCUCUUA
This is a long non-coding RNA of Falco peregrinus (peregrine falcon), 5324 nucleotides long. RefSeq lists it as uncharacterized. The transcript is spliced from 2 exons. NCBI's taxonomy places the organism in Eukaryota, Metazoa, Chordata, Aves, Falconiformes, Falconidae. The record is from RefSeq and is a predicted model, not a curated record.